This 457-nucleotide ribosomal RNA is filed under the name uncultured microorganism. RNAcentral's name for it is "bacterial SSU rRNA". It matches the Rfam family "Bacterial small subunit ribosomal RNA", at positions 9 to 513 of the family's 1533-position model. The record is from RNAcentral.
GAGUUUGAUCGUGGCUCAGAGCGAACGCUGGCGGCAGGCUUAACACAUGCAAGUCGAGCGGGCGUAGCAAUACGUCAGCGGCAGACGGGUGAGUAACACGUGGGAACGUACCUUUUGGUUCGGAACAACUGAGGGAAACUUCAGCUAAUACCGGAUAAGCCCUAACGGGGAAGAUUUAUCGCCGAAAGAUCGGCCCGCGUCUGAUUAGCUAGUUGGUGAGGUAAUGGCUCACCAAGGCGACGAUCAGUAGCUGGUCUGAGAGGAUGAUCAGCCACACUGGGACUGAGACACGGCCCAGACUCCUACGGGAGGCAGCAGUGGGGAAUAUUGGACAAUGGGGCAACCCUGAUCCAGCCAUGCCGCGUGAGUGAUGAAGGCCCUAGGGUUGUAAAGCUCUUUGUGCGGGAAGAUAAUGACGGUACCGCAAGAAUAAGCCCCGACUAACUUCGUGCCAGCG